AGCGAACGUUAGCGGCGGGCCUAACACAUGCAAGUCGAGCGCGAAAGGUCUUCGGACUGAGUAGAGUGGCGCACGGGUGAGUAACACGUAGGUAAUCUACCCUUUGGCGGGGGAUAACGUUCCGAAAGGAGCGCUAAUACCGCAUAAGACCACGGAGUCUCCGGACGCUGUGGGAAAAGGUGGCCUCUUCUUGAAAGCUACCACCGAAGGAUGAGCCUGCGUCCCAUCAGCUAGUUGGUAAGGUAAUGGCUUACCAAGGCGAAGACGGGUAGCUGGUUUGAGAGAAUGAUCAGCCACACUGGCACUGGAACACGGGCCAGACUCCUACGGGAGGCAGCAGUGAGGAAUAUUGGGCAAUGGGCGAAAGCCUGACCCAGCCACGCCGCGUGAGUGAUGAAGGCCCUCGGGUCGUAAAGCUCUGUGGAGAGGGACGAAAACCCUGGUUUCAAAUAGGCUCCAGGCUUGACGGUACCUCUUUAGCAAGCACCGGCUAACUCUGUGCCAGCA
RNAcentral lists this ribosomal RNA (507 nucleotides) under uncultured bacterium. Its description in RNAcentral is "bacterial SSU rRNA". It matches the Rfam family "Bacterial small subunit ribosomal RNA", at positions 29 to 513 of the family's 1533-position model. The record is from RNAcentral.